GGACAACUCACCAGGCCCGGACACCGUAAGGAUUGACAGACUGAUAGCUCUCUCUUGAUUCAGUGGGUGGUGGUGCAUGGCCGUUCUUAGUUGGUGGAGUGAUUUGUCUGGUUUAUUCCGAUAACGAACGAGACUCUGUCCUGCUAAAUAGAGUCUGCUUCUCUUUUGAGCAGACAAUUCUUCUUAGAGGGACAGGCGACUCUUGAGCAAUAA
This 213-nucleotide ribosomal RNA is filed under the name uncultured eukaryote. RNAcentral's name for it is "partial 18S ribosomal RNA". It matches the Rfam family "Eukaryotic small subunit ribosomal RNA", at positions 1208 to 1456 of the family's 1831-position model. The record is from RNAcentral.